CCCAUAGGAACACCCAAAGGGCUUCCAGAAAACAAAUCCCCAGAGCACAGCUCUCCCCUCCACCAGCUGCCACCCCCCUGCAUUAAUUGCCUCCAUUUGAUUUUUCUAAUUUGCUUCAUGGCCCGUGAUUACCUGCUUUCAUCAAUGAAAUAGGCAGGUAGCGCUCUGCCACCCACGGCCGUCUCCCGGUCUCCUGUAAGGUCGAGGGCUUACCUUGUCGUAGUAGUAUCGAAGGGCUCUGCUCAGCUUAUCGUAGUUCAUGUUUGUUUUGUUCUUGCGGAGUCCCCACAGUUUGGCCACUUCUUCCGCUUUGAGGAGCUUGAAUUCGCCAUCGCUGGAGGUCCAGCAGAUCAGAUGCUCAUGCUUCUGGUCUAACAGCAACUGCAACAGGAACUGCCACAGCGUGAUCGCGCUCUCCAUACCUGGGGGAAGGAGGCUGGGU
This 442-nucleotide long non-coding RNA is filed under the name Lynx pardinus (Iberian lynx). The record is from RNAcentral. Lineage: Eukaryota; Metazoa; Chordata; Mammalia; Carnivora; Felidae.